This is a long non-coding RNA of Cavia porcellus (domestic guinea pig), 2977 nucleotides long. RefSeq lists it as uncharacterized. The record is from RefSeq and is a predicted model, not a curated record. Lineage: Eukaryota; Metazoa; Chordata; Mammalia; Rodentia; Caviidae. The transcript is spliced from 2 exons.
CCUGUUGCUUACAGAUCGUAAUGCUUGAUUUAUAUUGCUGUUUGUUUUGAUACUGGGGUUUAAACCCUGGAGUGCUUUACUACUGUGCCAGAUCCUCAGUCUUUUUUUUUAAUUUUUAGAAAGAGCCUUGCUGUCUUGCCGAGAUGGAGCUCUAACUUGUGAUCUUCUUGCCUCAGCUUCUGAGCUGCUAGGAUUAUGGAUGUGCUCCACCGUACCUGCCUGCGAGUAACGCCAGGAAAGUCAGACAGCUUCUACUGUCAUCUUCAACCUCCUCCCUCCACUUUGGUUUACAUUGAAUAAAGAAUAUUUUCAGGACCACAGGAUUAUCUGAGGGUAACAAAACUAUCCCCUUUCUACACAAUUAUUCUGCUCACUCGGAGGAAAGGGGUGGUAUCUGUGAACAGUAUCUCAAUCUGCCAGCCACCAAAUAUUAACUCCCUGAGUCAGCUUAUAGAAAAAGUGUUAUUCAAGAUAGGACAUUUUACUGCAUGUGAGGUUUAAUGAGAAACUACACUUAUCAGGCACAUAAUAUUCAGGAAUUCUCAUUCCAUCCUUACAGUAAAUACCUAAUUUUAAAUAUUGCUUAUGCCUGGUAUUCUAUCCAAAUCAAACUCUAAAAUUUACAGUUCAGCAAAAAUUUGGGUCUGAAACCAUGUCAGCAAAAGUAUCUUUUAUUUUAAUAAAGACUUUUUUGGGCUUGAGAAUAAAUCUUACAUACUCGGAUACACUGGGGAAAGGGGAAAGGGCAGUUUUCUUUUUAGCCUCUGGAUAAAUAGAGAAAAUAGAAGGUUGGCUGCAGAGAGACAAAGAAAGUAGAACUGUGUUAGUAAAAAUGUGUUAAUGGGGUAGAAGUCAGGGCCCGUGCUCUGACCGGUACUGACACAUCAAAAGGCACUGUUUGCAGAAGGGAGGGAGAGGAUUUCUGGAGAAUGACAAAACCAUUUGAGAGAGCACAGCUAAAGCCUGGCUCACUAGUUGAUUGUGCUGACAGGUGGCCAUGUUCUGCUCCUCAGAAACCAUGGACCCAAACAUGCUUUAUCCCAUGUUCAGGACAAACCAGCUCCCAGCCCCAAGCCAGCCUGCCAUCAGGAACUUUAUCAGUGGAGCAACUUCUUGAGCAACUUUUGACUGCAACAGCACUGCAACAACUUUAAUGUGUUGAGUAUCAUAUUUCAGUGACAAGGAAAGAGACCAGACAAAUUUUGAUACCAGGAAAGUGGUGCUGUUGUUUGGACUACACCUAAUCGUGUGGUUCAGAAGCCUCUUUGGAACUGUACAUGGGAGGAAUUUGGAAUGAUUUUGAGAUGCAGCUGUAGAAAUAGCCCUAAAAUGCUAUAAACCAAGCUUGAUGAGAGAUUCUUCUUGGAGUUCCUAGAAAUGCAGAUGAUAAAGACCAGGCUCAGGAGGCUUCCAUUUGGAACAAGUAUUCUAUUUGCAAUUGGACUGAAAACCAUGCAUAUUAUGGUCUGGUAGAAAGUUUGACUACAUUUUGCCAAUGUCCAGACCUCGUAGGAGAGUCAGAUAAACAACAAUGAACUAAUAAAUGUAGUGGAGAGAAUUUCAAGACUAUCUAUUGGGCAUGGGUACUGUUGGGGACCUUUAGCCAACUCUACACUGAAAAUCAAGAGCAAAUGGCACAGCUGAAUGAUGUAAAAAGUUUUGAAUUUGAGAAGAAGGGAAACUCUAGUAAAGUUAGGGCCUGUAAAGUUGGACUAGAGGAGACUUUGUUUACUAAAAUGAUUAACAUAAAAAGGAAGCCAAGUUCCUUACAACAAGACAAUAGGAAAAAGGGCUUAAGGCCAUGAGCUGAGCCAGUAAUGUGCCACUCUUGCAUGUUUAAAAUGCCAAAAGUGAAAGACUUUGAUUUGAGAAGAGAGCCUCAGGUCACCAUACUGGAGACAGUCUACCUAUGGAAUUUGUUCCUCAGGACUCCAUUUGUAGUGGUCAACCCUCCAGGCACUCACAGAGCCUGCAGUCAUGAUCCAAGGAAGCCUGGAUGCUGCUCCAUCUGGAGGCAGAUCUUGAUGUCAUUCAUCCAUAUGGUACUGGUUUAUAGACGCGCAGAGCAGAAGAGAGCUGUGGGGUCAAAAAUGCUCCUACCCAGACUUCAAAAAAAGGUCUCAGAAGCCAGGCAACGUGCCCCUUGAGACAGCAAUGCAUUGAGCUGUGAGAGAGAAGCUGCAAGUGCACUGGAGAGCACAAGGUGUUGCAGAAGUCCAAUGUGGAACAUAUGAGGAAAGUCACAUGGACUGAUCAAAACCAGCCCAAAAGUAAGCCAUCGGCAAUGAUGCAACCAUUGGCAAUGAUGUAUGAGCAGGUUGUCCAAGCCCUUUAGAGUUCACAUAUCAUCACCACUUACUGUGGGUGCUGGACAAGGAAUUAUAGGAUUGACCUACCCCCUCUCUGCCCCCCCCCGCGAUCCCUCCCUUUUGGAAUGGAAAUGUUUACACUUUUCACUGUACAAUGUAAAUGUUUAACUUUUAUUUUUACAGGGCUUACAUGUAAGUCUUUUCUUUGAAUUUCAGAGAUGUAGGACUUGAACCUUUCAGCAAUGCUGAAACUGUCAGUACUUUGGCAACUCUUAGAGAUAGACAAAAUGUAUUUUACAUAACUGGACACACAUGAUGCUUUUAGGCGAUAGGGGUGAAAUGCCAUGGCUUAUAUCCACAUGUCCUCCAAGUUUGGUGCACUCACAGACAGGGCUAUUGGAAGAUGAUUGGGUUAUGGAAAUGUAUAGCUGGUUUGCUGUUAAGAGUUUCAGCCUGAUUGGAAGAGGCAGGUCACUGGGGGUGUGACCUAAAAGGGUCUCACUUCCUUCCCAGCUUCUCCUUUCACUCUGCUUUCUAGCCACCAUGCUGUGGGCAACUUUUCCUCUGUCACUAGUGCUCAGAUGUCCUUCCUUGGAGUCAGCUGAGCAUUGAAGGACUAAUACUGCUGAAAUGUGAGCCAAAUAAAUCUCUCCUCCUUUAUUUUUAAA